RNAcentral lists this ribosomal RNA (438 nucleotides) under uncultured bacterium. RNAcentral's name for it is "partial 16S ribosomal RNA". It matches the Rfam family "Bacterial small subunit ribosomal RNA", at positions 29 to 507 of the family's 1533-position model. The record is from RNAcentral.
AACGAACGCUGGCGGCAUGCCUAACACAUGCAAGUCGAACGAGACCUUCGGGUCUAGUGGCGCACGGGUGCGUAACGCGUGGGAACCUGCCCUUAGGUUCGGAAUAACUCCCCGAAAGGGGUGCUAAUACCGGAUAAUGUCUUCGGACCAAAGAUUUAUCGCCUUUGGAUGGGCCCGCGUUGGAUUAGCUAGUUGGUAGGGUAAAAGCCUACCAAGGCGACGAUCCAUAGCUGGUCUGAGAGGAUGAUCAGCCACACUGGGACGGAGAUAAGGCCCAGACUGAGUCGGGAGGCAGCACUGAGGGAGAGUGGACGAGGGGCGGAAGGCUGAUGCAGAACCGCCGUGGCCGGGAUGAAGGCCGUCGGGUUGUAGAACGCAUUCGCCUGUGACGGAGCGGGAGGGACGGGAAUGGGUAAAGGAGAACCGGCGAGUUAGGGG